UACGGAGGGCGCGAGCAUUAAUCGGAAUUACUGGGCGUAAAGCGCACGUAGGUGGCGACGUAAGUCGGGUGUGAAAGCCCCGGGCUCAACCUGGGAAUUGCAUUCGAGACUGCAUUGCUGGAGUACGGAAGAGGAGGGAGGAAUUCCCGGUGUAGCGGUGAAAUGCGUAGAGAUCGGGAGGAACAUCAGUGGCGAAGGCGGCCCUCUGGUCCAGUACUGACACUCAAGUGCGAAAGCGUGGGGAGCAAACAGG
This 253-nucleotide ribosomal RNA is filed under the name uncultured bacterium. RNAcentral's name for it is "partial 16S ribosomal RNA". It matches the Rfam family "Bacterial small subunit ribosomal RNA", at positions 524 to 776 of the family's 1533-position model. The record is from RNAcentral.